GAUGAACGCUGGCGGCGUGCCUAAUACAUGCAAGUCGAGCGAACAGACGAGGAGCUUGCUCCUCUGACGUUAGCGGCGGACGGGUGAGUAACACGUGGAUAACCUACCUAUAAGACUGGGAUAACUUCGGGAAACCGGAGCUAAUACCGGAUAAUAUAUUGAACCGCAUGGUUCAAUAGUGAAAGACGGUUUUGCUGUCACUUAUAGAUGGAUCCGCGCCGCAUUAGCUAGUUGGUAAGGUCGGCUUACCAAGGCAACGAUGCGUAGCCGACCUGAGAGGGUGAUCGGCCACACUGGAACUGAGACACGGUCCAGACUCCUACGGGAGGCAGCAGUAGGGAAUCUUCCGCAAUGGGCGAAAGCCUGACGGAGCAACGCCGCGUGAGUGAUGAAGGUCUUCGGAUCGUAAAACUCUGUUAUUAGGGAAGAACAAAUGUGUAAGUAACUAUGCACGUCUUGACGGUACCUAAUCAGAAAGCCACGGCUAACUACGUG
RNAcentral lists this ribosomal RNA (495 nucleotides) under uncultured bacterium. RNAcentral describes it as "partial 16S ribosomal RNA". It matches the Rfam family "Bacterial small subunit ribosomal RNA", at positions 28 to 507 of the family's 1533-position model. The record is from RNAcentral.